GCGGGAGUAGUUCAAUGGUAGAACCUUAGCCUUCCAAGCUAAUGGUGCGGGUUCGAUUCCCGUCUCCCGCUCCA
Molecule: transfer RNA, 74 nt
Filed under: Rubrivivax sp.
Lineage: Bacteria; Pseudomonadati; Pseudomonadota; Betaproteobacteria; Burkholderiales; Sphaerotilaceae
Also listed under: 3 other names
Description: tRNA-Gly
Rfam family: tRNA
About the family: Transfer RNA (tRNA) molecules are approximately 80 nucleotides in length.
Source: RNAcentral